UUUCCGCUUGAUCCUGCCGGACCCGACUGCUAUCAGAGUGGGAUAAGCCAUGCGAGUUAACGUAGCAAUACGUGGCAUACGGCUCAGUAACACGUAGUCAACAUGCCCAGGGGACGUGGAUAACCUCGGGAAACUGAGGAUAAACCGCGAUAGGUCAUGAUUUCUGGAAUGAUUCAUGGCCGAAAUCUACAUGGCCCCUGGAUUGGACUGCGGCCGAUCAGGCUGUUGGUGAGGUAAUGGCCCACCAAACCUGUUACCGGUACGGGCUCUGAGAGGAGGAGCCCGGAGAUGGGCACUGAGACAAGGGCCCAGGCCCUAUGGGGCGCAGCAGGCGCGAAACCUCUGCAAUAGGCGAAAGCCUGACAGGGUUACUCUGAGUGGUUUCCGCUAAGGGAACCUUUUGGCACCUCUACAAAUGGUGCAGAAUAAGGGGUGGGCAAGUCUGGUGUCAGCCGCCGCGGUAAUACCAGCACCCCGAGUGGUCGGGACGAUUAUUGGGCCUAAAGCAUCCGUAGCCGGUCCUGCAAGUCUUCCGUUAAAUCCAGCUGCUCAACAGAUGGGCUGCGGGGGAUACUACAUGGCUAGGAGGCGGGAGAGGCAAGCGGUACUUUAUGGGUAGGGGUAAAAUCCGUUGAUCCAUAGAAGACCACCAGUGGCGAAGGCGGCUUGCCAGAACGCGCUCGACGGUGAGGGAUGAAAGCUGGGGGAGCAAACCGGAUUAGAUACCUGGGUAGUCCCAGCUGUAAACGAUGCAGACUCGGUGAUGGGCUGGCUUCGUGCCAACCCAGUGCCAGGGAAGCCGUUAAGUCUGCCGCCUGGGGAGUACGGUCGCAAGACUGAAACUUAAAGGGAUUGGCGGGGGAGCACCACAAGGGGUGAAGCCUGCGGUUCAAUUGGACUCAACGCCGGG
Molecule: ribosomal RNA, 910 nt
Filed under: uncultured soil archaeon
Lineage: Archaea
Description: bacterial SSU rRNA
Rfam family: Archaeal small subunit ribosomal RNA
Source: RNAcentral